This 497-nucleotide ribosomal RNA is filed under the name uncultured bacterium. Its description in RNAcentral is "partial 16S ribosomal RNA". It matches the Rfam family "Bacterial small subunit ribosomal RNA", at positions 28 to 507 of the family's 1533-position model. The record is from RNAcentral.
GAUGAACGCUGGCGGCGUGCCUAAUACAUGCAAGUCGAGCGAACGGACGAGAAGCUUGCUUCUCUGAUGUUAGCGGCGGACGGGUGAGUAACACGUGGAUAACCUACCUAUAAGACUGGGAUAACUUCGGGAAACCGUAGCUAAUACCGGAUAAUAUUUUGAACCGCAUGGUUCAAAAGUGAAAGACGGUCUUGCUGUCACUUAUAGAUGGAUCCGCGCUGCAUUAGCUAGUUGGUAAGGUAACGGCUUACCAAGGCAACGAUGCAUAGCCGACCUGAGAGGGUGAUCGGCCACACUGGAACUGAGACACGGUCCAGACUCCUACGGGAGGCAGCAGUAGGGUAUCUUCCGCAAAGGGCGAAAGCCUGACGGAGCAAAGCCGCGUGAGUGAUGAAGGUCUUCGGAUCGUAAAACUCUGUUAUUAGGGAAGAACAUAUGUGUAAGUAACUGUGCACAUCUUGACGGUACCUAAUCAGAAAGCCACGGCUAACUACGUG